GACUUGGGUGUUGCUGCUUUACGGUGGCUCGCCUCAAAUGGAGUAGUGCAACUCUUGGUUGGACAUAGUACGGCGUGAUAAGUGUCUUCGCCGGCACCUCACUAGAGGGUGGCUGAUCAGGAGCUCUGUGCCUCAAACCGUCUUCGGACAAUCUUUGACAACUUGACCUCAAAUCGAGUAGGACUACCCGCUGAACUUAA
RNAcentral lists this unclassified non-coding RNA (200 nucleotides) under soil metagenome. RNAcentral describes it as "partial contains internal transcribed spacer 2 and large subunit ribosomal RNA". The record is from RNAcentral.